RNAcentral lists this ribosomal RNA (255 nucleotides) under uncultured bacterium. RNAcentral's name for it is "partial 16S ribosomal RNA". It matches the Rfam family "Bacterial small subunit ribosomal RNA", at positions 524 to 776 of the family's 1533-position model. The record is from RNAcentral.
UACGUAGGGGGCAAGCGUUGUCCGGAAUCAUUGGGCGUAAAGAGCGUGUAGGCGGCCCGAUAAGUCCGCCGUGAAAGUCCAGGGCUCAACCCCUGGAAUGCCGGUGGAAACUGUCGGGCUGGAGUCCGGAAGAGGCGAGUGGAAUUCCUGGUGUAGCGGUGAAAUGCGCAGAUAUCAGGAGGAACACCAAUGGCGAAGGCAGCUCGCUGGGACGGUACUGACGCUGAGACGCGAAAGCGUGGGGGAGCAAACAGG